RNAcentral lists this RNase P RNA (334 nucleotides) under human gut metagenome. Its description in RNAcentral is "Bacterial RNase P class B". It matches the Rfam family "Bacterial RNase P class B". Rfam says of the family: Ribonuclease P (RNase P) is a ubiquitous endoribonuclease, found in archaea, bacteria and eukarya as well as chloroplasts and mitochondria. The record is from RNAcentral.
UUUUAGGCAAACGCUGCAUAUUUAUUAAUGUGUAGAGGAAAGUCCAUGCUCGCACUAUCCUGAGAUGGAAGUAGUGUUCGUGCUAGAGGAAUAAAUAACUCUAGGUAGUUUUACUAACGGCUUCGAAAUAACCUUAAAUGGUUAAAUUAGAUAUAAAAGUGCCAAAGAGACGAGUAUAUUUGGAAACGAAUAUAGUGGAACGUGGUAAACCCCGCGAGCGAGAAACCCAAAAUUUGGUAGGGGAAUCUUUACGAAAGAACUUGAAUGGAGUAAAGGACAGUUUACUGUAGAUAAAUGUUUGCCACCUAGAAAUAGGUACAGAACAUGGCUUAUU